This 206-nucleotide long non-coding RNA is filed under the name Trifolium pratense (red clover). RNAcentral describes it as "long non-coding RNA (TPRA_LNC012911)". The record is from RNAcentral. Lineage: Eukaryota; Viridiplantae; Streptophyta; Magnoliopsida; Fabales; Fabaceae.
UGCGAAAACUCUGCAAGUGCACAGAUCUAUCGUGUAGUUUUAAAAGAUAUCGAUCCCACAGGGACUAUUUUCUCAAUAAUUCGCUUGUUUUUAAUAAAUCGUAAGGUCAAUGCUUUAAUCAAAAGAGGAAUUCUAAUUAAUAACUAAAAUAAAUUUGACUUUUUUAAAAAAAGGAUAAAACUAAACCGGAAUGUGAUUUUAGUCGC